GUAUACAGCCUUAAAAUAAAACUAAACUAAUUUGUUGCUUUUCUAUCGUUUUCAUUAAAACUUUAAUUACAGAGCACAAAAAUUUGAACGAAUAUGAAAAUGUAUACUAAGACGUCUUCCUUACAAAAUUUGGAAAAGAUCAGCAACCCGGCGCGAGAGCAUUCCGUCACUACCGACCACGUAUUUAUAGCAGCAUUCGAUAAUAAUGAUUUAUAUAUUUAUCACCACAUCGAAAUUACGUCACCGAACACGCACAUUAAAUGCCGCUGCUGGGGAACAACGUUCUUCAUUAAAAAAAAUUUCGCAAUGGGGAUUAGCGGCAAUUCCAUUUUUUAUUAUUAUAAAUACCGUUUACUGGAUAGGGCAUAUUUCAUAUAUAUAUAUAGUGUUAAAUACUAAUAAGUGACUUCCAUUUAGAAAUCUUUUAAAACGAUUUUGAUGUAGGUUGGUACCUACUUGUUAAAUUUAAGUAAUUCCAAAGUGGUUUUUUUGUCAGUUUUUCAGUAAGCCAUACUAAUCACCAAAUACUUACUGAAUUUAAAAAACGGCUAUCUAUCCGAACAUAAAAUAGAUAUCUUGUUCAGUCAAUUCAAAUGCAUUUUCCGGCGUUCGAAAUGUUUUGUACGAACGAUGCUUUUGUUUAACUAACGAACAGUAAAGCUGAAAUUUGUAUACUACUGACCGUUACGAGGACUUCCUACACAUCGGCUUGAGGAGCACGAGGAAGUAGCGAACGACGUCGGACCAACUUCCCGCACUCAAAAAUACACCUUAAACGCGUCGAGAGAGGAUUCUUUUCUAAAUGCAAUUAUUAGUUUACACGACUGCGAGUAAAUAAAUCCGGCAAGUUUAAUGCAAAACUUUUGGUUUACGCUUUAUGGUAAAUAUUUGGUGUACGUCGUAUAACUGUUUUAUAGUUCUAGUAAAAUGUUUGGUUUAAUUGUGCUAGGUCAAGAGCGGGCGUUCGACAGCCGUCCUUGCGACGGAUAAAUAUUAUUGUCUAAGCGGGUUUUCCGCUGUUUGGAUGUUUGUACGAGUUUGUGGAUAAUCCAGACGGGGAUCCGAGAGUGCAAUAGCCUUACCAUCGUUUAAAAGCCUUUUAAUCUAUCUGCUUUCUUUAAUUUGUGUCUUUAGCACACACUUGGUUUGCAAAGAUCACAGUAAGUAAGUAGGUAUACAUCUAUGCCUAUCCUAUGCCGUUCCGAAAUCCAGUUUAGUUUUAUUACACGUGCCCGUUUGGUGGCGUGUCGUUUAAUUUUGUAUCAACGUAAUUAAAAAUGAAACAGCGGAAACAAAUACCUACGCAUAUUUAAUAUUUCAUUUGAUAGAAUGAAUAUUUUGUUAUUUUUUCGUUACUGUGAAAUUAGAUGUAUUAACGUGUGCCCGGGUACGCCAGAAGUAUGCAUCUGUAGGUAUAGGAGACAUUUCUGUCUUGUUUGUGAACACAAGAAAAAAUAAAUGAAAAUUUUGCUAA
Bombyx mori (domestic silkworm) is the source of this 1474-nucleotide long non-coding RNA. RefSeq lists it as uncharacterized. The record is from RefSeq and is a predicted model, not a curated record. The transcript has 2 exons. NCBI's taxonomy places the organism in Eukaryota, Metazoa, Arthropoda, Insecta, Lepidoptera, Bombycidae.